CAACCCCUAGGGAGGCAGCAGUGAGGAAUAUUGGUCAAUGGGCGGGAGCCUGAACCAGCCAAGUCGCGUGAGGGAAGACGGUCCUAUGGAUUGUAAACCUCUUUUGUCGGGGAGCAAAGAGAUCACGUGUGGUCAAAAGCGAGAGUACCCGAAGAAAAAGCAUCGGCUAAUUCCGUGCCAGCAGCCGCGGUAAUACGGAGGAUGCGAGCGUUAUCCGGAUUUAUUGGGUUUAAAGGGUGCGUAGGCGGGACGUUAAGUCAGCGGUAAAAAUGCGGAGCUCAACUCCGUCGAGCCGUUGAAACUGC
Molecule: ribosomal RNA, 305 nt
Filed under: uncultured bacterium
Lineage: Bacteria
Description: bacterial SSU rRNA
Rfam family: Bacterial small subunit ribosomal RNA
Source: RNAcentral